RNAcentral lists this long non-coding RNA (273 nucleotides) under Populus tremula. RNAcentral's name for it is "long non-coding RNA (PTRE_LNC000473)". Lineage: Eukaryota; Viridiplantae; Streptophyta; Magnoliopsida; Malpighiales; Salicaceae. The record is from RNAcentral.
UAAACUCUCACCUAUUCCCUUUAUAUCUCCCUACUAUAAUUGUUAGUUCUGAAGUGAAACCGCCCGCCAUCCAAUCAACUGGCAUCGAUCGGAAAACCACCCGCUACAAAGCAUAAACUCUUCUCUUUCCGAUCUGGGUGUAUUAAACACAGUCCUUAAUUUCCUAGCUUAAUCAUGUACUCAUCAACCUCAUCUUCUUAUGACAAAUUCUCCACUUCGCAGCCACCAGUCUUCAGUCAAGAUACAUCAACAACUGGGAUUCCAGUGAGUACA